Syzygium oleosum is the source of this 992-nucleotide long non-coding RNA. RefSeq lists it as uncharacterized. The record is from RefSeq and is a predicted model, not a curated record. The transcript has 3 exons. NCBI's taxonomy places the organism in Eukaryota, Viridiplantae, Streptophyta, Magnoliopsida, Myrtales, Myrtaceae.
UCUCUCUCUGCUAUUCCUCAGAACCCCCCCCCCCCCCUCUGCCAAACACCUCUCCGUCGCUCCCUCCUCCCCUCCGCCAGCCAUGAUGGCCACCCUCACCGCCACCGCCGCCGCCGCCGUUGCCUCCUCUUCCGUCGCCAUCCGCCCGUUCCGCGCCCACAAGCCCUCCCGCGCGCCCCGCCGGGAUCCGGUGCUCCGUCACCGAGGGCCCCGCGAUCUCCCAGCUGAGGGCCGCCGGCGGGGGACUGGUUGAUUGCGUGGUGGUCGGGGGCGGGAUCAGCGGGCUUUGCAUCGCCCAGGCGCUCGCCACGAAGCACUGCGACAGGGCCCCCGACGUGGUCGUCACCGAGGCUAGGGACCGCGUCGACGGCAACAUCACCACCGUCGAGAGGGACGGCUACCUGUGGGAGGAGGGCCCCAAUAGUUUCCAGCCAUUCCGAGAUUUGUACGUUCCGUCGGUCCCAUUCCGAGAUUUCUUUCCAUCGGUCCCAUUCCGAGAUUUGUACGUUCCGUCUACUCUAAUUUUGUGACCUUUUUAUUGAAGUUCUCGAGUAUGUUUGUGUGUUAACUGAUAGAUACAUCGUCGGAUUAUUGUAAUGGUUGUCGUUGCUCUUGUUUCGUUAGAAUUGGGUAUAGUCUUCAUCGAGAAAUGGAGAUGAUGUUUGUGAGUUUAUAGGGUAAAUGGGUCAGGAUACGGUGCUUUGCAAGUGUUUGAUGAAUGACCCAGUUCUCCAAUUUGCGAAUAGACGUGCAAUUUUGGACUUUUUUUAUGCUGUUGCGAAUAGCGGGGCGAGGCUCGAAUCGGCGUGAGUUCUUUCUUGGGUGUUCUUCCUUUUUUUUUUCUGGGGGAAAGGAAGAAAAUGGAGAGGACAAAGCUAUCGUUGGAUAGAUGCUCAAGAACACUCAGACUUCACUUGCAGAAGAACAAGAACGCAAUCGCCAGUUGACAAAGCCUGUAACUGCUGAAAAGAUGGAAACAAGAAAAGCAGAGC